CCUACGGGGGACUGCAGUGAGGAAUAUUGGUCAAUGGACGAGAGUCUGAACCAGCCAAGUAGCGUGAAGGAUGACUGCCCUAUGGGUUGUAAACUUCUUUUAUAUGGGAAUAAACUGUUCCACGUGUGGGAUUUUGUAUGUACCAUAUGAAUAAGGAUCGGCUAACUCCGUGCCAGCAGCCGCGGUAAUACGGAGGAUCCGAUCGUUUUCCGGAUUUAUUGGGUUUAAAGGGAGCGUAGGUGGAUUGUUAAGUCAGUUGUGAAAGUUUGCGGCUCAACCGUAAAAUUGCAGUUGAAACUGGCAGUCUGGAGUGCAGUAGAGGUGGGCGGAAUUCGUGGUGUAGCGGUGAAAUGCUUAGAUAUCACGAAGAACUCCGAUUGCGAAGGCAGCUCACUGGACUGCAACUGACACUGAGGCUCGAAAGUGUGGGUAUCAAACAGGAUUAGAUACCCCUGUAGUC
This 460-nucleotide ribosomal RNA is filed under the name uncultured bacterium. RNAcentral's name for it is "partial 16S ribosomal RNA". It matches the Rfam family "Bacterial small subunit ribosomal RNA", at positions 338 to 795 of the family's 1533-position model. The record is from RNAcentral.